Molecule: ribosomal RNA, 168 nt
Filed under: Triticum aestivum (bread wheat)
Lineage: Eukaryota; Viridiplantae; Streptophyta; Magnoliopsida; Poales; Poaceae
Description: partial small subunit ribosomal RNA
Source: RNAcentral
AUGGGGAAGAAGCCGGAGAAGGAGAACCCGAGGAAGAAGAAGCUGCAGAAGGUGCAGAGCGCGGCGCAGCAGCAGAAGGGGAAGCUCUACAUCAUCGUGGCCUGCAUCGCCCUGCUCGUCUGCGGCUGCUCCACCAAACAGCAAAAGCGUACGUGUGCAUAUCAAUAA